RNAcentral lists this ribosomal RNA (253 nucleotides) under uncultured bacterium. RNAcentral's name for it is "partial 16S ribosomal RNA". It matches the Rfam family "Bacterial small subunit ribosomal RNA", at positions 524 to 776 of the family's 1533-position model. The record is from RNAcentral.
UACGGGGGGGGCAAGCGUUGUUCGGAAUUACUGGGCGUAAAGGGCUCGUAGGUGGCCAACUAAGUCGGACGUGAAAUCCCUCGGCUUAACCGGGGAACUGCAUCCGAUACUGGAUGGCUUGAGUUCGGGAGAGGGAUGCGGAAUUCCAGGUGUAGCGGUGAAAUGCGUAGAUAUCUGGAGGAACACCGGUGGCGAAGGCGGCAUCCUGGACCGACACUGACGCUGAGGAGCGAAAGCGUGGGGAGCAAACAGG